RNAcentral lists this long non-coding RNA (880 nucleotides) under Gouania willdenowi (blunt-snouted clingfish). Its description in RNAcentral is "lncRNA (ENSGWIG00000004871.1)". Lineage: Eukaryota; Metazoa; Chordata; Actinopteri; Blenniiformes; Gobiesocidae. The record is from RNAcentral.
GAGCACCAGCAUCCACAGCUGCUUGAGGAGGAAACAUCAACAGAAAGCAAAACAAUUAAUCAUCCACUGAUGGAGGAGGAGGAUGAUGAAGAUGGAGGACAGGAGCACCAGUAUCCACAGCAUCCUGAGGAAACAUCAACAGGGGACAGAAAGACUUCUAUUCACCAAAACAAUACAGGAGUGCCAGCAUCCACUGAUGGAGGAGGAGGAUGAUGAAGAAGAUGGAGGACAUUAGCACCAGUAUCCACAGCUGCCUGAGGAGGAAACAUCAACAGAAAGCAAAACAAUCAAAACAAUUAAUGUAAGUAAAGCCUCUCAUUGGCACAGAAAGACACUGAACUAAUGUUUAAUGUAAAAAUAGAGGUGACUUUAUACUAAUGCCUGUAAAAUGUUGGACUGGAACAACGGCAUCUACUGAUGGAGGAGGAGGAUGAAGAUGGAGGACAGGAGCACCAGCAUCCACAGCAUCCUGAGGAGGAAACAUUACCAGAGGACAGAAAGACUUCUAUUCACCAAAACAAUCAAUAGUUUUGCUUCAGAGGAGAAUCCGACAGUUCCAGAUGUUCGUCACCAGCACUGCAGUGUUUACACAGACUGCUUUGGUUUCAACUUUCUACAAAAAACUGUUGAAUUUUCAACUCACUUUCCAUCUGAAUCCAAGCUCAUCUUCAUCACUGGGAUGUUUCUUCAUCAGUUCUUCGUACAGACUGACACAGCUCACACAUGGAGAAGAUGAUUUAUGGAAUAUGACAUUUAGAUUUUUCCUUUUCUCAACAGUAUGAUGCAUACAUCCCAACCCAAAUUUCAUGCAUUUUUUUUGGCUUAACUUGAGCCAAUUUCCAUCAAUAAAUUGCUAAUGUAUUAUUAUUAUUGACUAUUA